UGGCCCUACGGGAGGCAGCAGUGGGGAACAUUGCACAAUGGGGGAAACCCUGAUGCAGCGACGCCGCGUGAGCGAAGAAGGAUUUCGGGAUGUAAAGCUCUAUCAGCAGGGAAGAAAAAUGACGGUACCUGAGUAAGAAGCACCGGCUAAAUACGAGCCAGCAGCCGCGGUAAUACGUAUGGUGCAAGCGUUAUCCGGAUUUACUGGGGGUAAAGGGAGCGCAGGCGGUGCGGCAAGGCUGAUGUGAAAGGCCGAGGCUCAACCC
Molecule: ribosomal RNA, 265 nt
Filed under: uncultured bacterium
Lineage: Bacteria
Description: partial 16S ribosomal RNA
Rfam family: Bacterial small subunit ribosomal RNA
Source: RNAcentral